This is a long non-coding RNA of Octopus sinensis (East Asian common octopus), 576 nucleotides long. RefSeq lists it as uncharacterized. The transcript has 2 exons. NCBI's taxonomy places the organism in Eukaryota, Metazoa, Mollusca, Cephalopoda, Octopoda, Octopodidae. The record is from RefSeq and is a predicted model, not a curated record.
UAUAUAUGUAUAUAUAUAUAUAUAUAUAUAUUUAUGUAUAUAUAUAUUUAUAUAUUAUAUUAUAUGUAUAUGUAUAAUCUUGCUUGUAAAGAAGCAGGUUUGAAAAAGGGGCUAUGUACAUAUAAAUACAUAUGUGUGUAUAUAAGCAAAAUUGUAAAGGACUUGCGGACAUAUAGAUGGAUAUAUUUCUGUAUGUGUGUGUGUGCAUAUAUAUAUAGAUAUAUAUAUUAUAUCAGGAUUGAAAUGGAGAUGCCUACACAUAAAUGUAUUUGUAUAUCUGAGUGUGUGUGUGUGUGCGUAUAUAAAUUACAUGUGUGUAUAUGGUCUAUAUAUUAUAUAUGUGUGUUUAUAUUUUGUAUGUAUACACGUGUGUGUGUGUAUAUAUACGUGUAUAUAACAGUUCAAACUAAGAUGUGGAUAUUGCAAUUCAUACAUGUGUUUGUGUGUGUGUGUAUAGAGUGUAUAUUUUUAUGUUCACUGUCUCUCUUUGACACUUAUAUUUACUUCUAAUGAAUUUCUUAAUUUAAAAAGCAAAAAAUCUAAUGAAAUAAAGAAAAGCUAUUGACUAAUUUGAAA